Molecule: ribosomal RNA, 500 nt
Filed under: uncultured bacterium
Lineage: Bacteria
Description: bacterial SSU rRNA
Rfam family: Bacterial small subunit ribosomal RNA
Source: RNAcentral
CCUGGCUCAGGAUGAACGCUAGCUACAGGCUUAACACAUGCAAGUCGAGGGGCAGCGGGAUUGAAGCUUACUUCAAUUGCCGGCGACCGGCGCACGGGUGAGUAACGCGUAUCCAACCUUCCGUACACUCAGGGAUAGCCUUUCGAAAGAAAGAUUAAUACCUGAUGGUAUGAUGAGAUCGCAUGGUAUCAUCAUUAAAGAUUUAUCGGUGUACGAUGGGGAUGCGUUCCAUUAGGUAGUAGGCGGGGUAACGGCCCACCUAGCCAACGAUGGAUAGGGGUUCUGAGAGGAAGGUCCCCCACAUUGGAACUGAGACACGGUCCAAACUCCUACGGGAGGCAGCAGUGAGGAAUAUUGGUCAAUGGACGAGAGUCUGAACCAGCCAAGUAGCGUGCAGGAUGACGGCCCUAUGGGUUGUAAACUGCUUUUAUAAGGGAAUAAAGUGAGUCUCGUGAGACUUUUUGCAUGUACCUUAUGAAUAAGGACCGGCUAAUUCCGUG